This 504-nucleotide ribosomal RNA is filed under the name uncultured Pseudomonadota bacterium. RNAcentral's name for it is "bacterial SSU rRNA". It matches the Rfam family "Bacterial small subunit ribosomal RNA", at positions 540 to 1050 of the family's 1533-position model. The record is from RNAcentral. Lineage: Bacteria; Pseudomonadati; Pseudomonadota.
GUUAAUCGGAAUUACUGGGCGUAAAGCGCGCGUAGGCGGCUUGUUAAGCCAGAUGUGAAAGCCCCGGGCUCAACCUGGGAACUGCAUUUGGAACUGACUCGCUAGAGUACAGUAGAGGGUGGUGGAAUUUCCAGUGUAGCGGUGAAAUGCGUAGAGAUUGGAAGGAACACCAGUGGCGAAGGCGGCUCACUGGCUCGAUACUGACGCUGAGGUACGAAAGUGUGGGGAGCAAACAGGAUUAGAUACCCUGGUAGUCCACGCCGUAAACGAUGGACACUAGUUGUUGGAAUUAUUCAGUGACUAAGCGAAAGUGAUAAGUGUCCCACCUGGGGAGUACGAUCGCAAGAUUGAAACUCAAAGGAAUUGACGGGGGCCCGCACAAGCGGUGGAGCAUGUGGUUUAAUUCGAAGCAACGCGCAGAACCUUACCAACCCUUGACAUCCUGUGCUAUAUUUAGAGAUAGAUAGUUCCCUUCGGGGACGCAGUGACAGGUGCUGCAUGGCU